GAUGAAGAACUUAGCGAAAUGCGAUACGUAAUGUGAAUUGCAGAAUUCAGUGAAUCAUCGAGUCUUUGAACGCACAUUGCGCCCAUUAGUAUUCUAGUGGGCAUGCCUGUUCGAGCGUCAUUAAGUCCACUUAAGCCCUGCUUAGUGUUGGGAGACUGCUCCAGCGGUGCUACCCUGUAGCUACCCUGCAGCUCCUCAAAGACAGCGGCGGAGUUGUGGUAUCCUCUGAGCUUAGUAACUUGUUCUAGCUUUCGAGUACACCACUUCCCCUGCCGUAAAACCCUUAAUUUUUAAUGGUUGACCUCGGAUCAGGUAGGAAUACCCGCUGAACUUAAGCAUAUCAAUAAGCGGAGGA
RNAcentral lists this unclassified non-coding RNA (355 nucleotides) under soil metagenome. RNAcentral's name for it is "partial contains 5.8S ribosomal RNA, internal transcribed spacer 2, and large subunit ribosomal RNA". The stretch from base 1 to 120 matches the Rfam family "5.8S ribosomal RNA", at positions 35 to 154 of the family's 154-position model. The record is from RNAcentral.